GGUCCCAUAUGUUUAUAUACGGCAUAUAUUGGAAAUGGAGCAUCCUCCAGGACUGUAGACUGGAGCCCUGAUAAGUGCUCUCAUGAUGUAGUCAGCCUACCCCCUGCAUAGGGAAUGCAUAGUCCCGCAUGGCAAACUGAGGCCAAUGUUCUUCCUGAUCCAGCUGGCCCCCUAACUCCGUAGCUCCAUUUGAGCCGACCCAUUAGGGUAAGUCCCAGGUUGAGACGGUGUGCUGGUGAUGUGACGGCUUGCAUGGUUAUGCCGACGAUAGAACUGCCUCAGGGGCUUCCUUGGAAACCGAGGGGAAAGGAGAGCGUUGGGGGGUGGCACAGGUCUUUGGCUCAGCUUUGGGCUCUCUCCAGACCCUCUCUGUGGUGCCGCUGGAGCUUGCAGUCGCCUAGGUAAGUCAGUGGUUGGCAGUUCCAAUGUGGGGCUCUGCAUUCUGCUGGUCAACUUGGCCCAGAAUUCUUCAAAGAUUCUGUUGAGCCCAGACUCCAGAUUGAGUUGCGGGCCCAGUGGACAUGAGGCCUCUGCCACCUUAGGUGUGAUGGCAAGCCCGACUUUGCUUCCGAUGGUGGUAGUGCAGAACCCAAGAUAACUGUGUGCCGGAUAUCCCUCACUGGCAGGGUGGGGGAAACGGUAGGGCUUGACCACUGAGAUUCUAGGGCAUGUUUUUAUAUCUUUGGAAGUGGUAACCACUUAGAUGCAUGUUUCUGUGUAUUGUGAAUUCAGUGCUUACUAUACUAACCUGGAGUAUCCUUUUUUUGGUAUAUAAAAACAAAAACUAUACAAGCUGUUGCUUGACACAACAAAAUUGUG
This is a non-coding RNA of Pelobates cultripes (western spadefoot toad), 819 nucleotides long. NCBI's taxonomy places the organism in Eukaryota, Metazoa, Chordata, Amphibia, Anura, Pelobatidae. The record is from the annotation of a GenBank genome assembly.